This 447-nucleotide ribosomal RNA is filed under the name uncultured bacterium. RNAcentral describes it as "bacterial SSU rRNA". It matches the Rfam family "Bacterial small subunit ribosomal RNA", at positions 329 to 793 of the family's 1533-position model. The record is from RNAcentral.
GUCCAGACUCCUACGGGAGGCAGCAGUGGGGAAUAUUGCACAAUGGGGGAAACCCUGAUGCAGCGACGCCGCGUGAGCGAUGAAGUAUUUCGGUAUGUAAAGCUCUAUCAGCAGGGAAGAAGAUGACGGUACCUGACUAAGAAGCCCCGGCUAACUACGUGCCAGCAGCCGCGGUAAUACGUAGGGGGCAAGCGUUAUCCGGAUUUACUGGGUGUAAAGGGAGCGUAGACGGCGAUGCAAGCCAGAUGUGAAAGCCCGGGGCUCAACCCCGGGACUGCAUUUGGAACUGUGUGGCUGGAGUGUCGGAGAGGCAGGCGGAAUUCCUAGUGUAGCGGUGAAAUGCGUAGAUAUUAGGAGGAACACCAGUGGCGAAGGCGGCCUGCUGGACGAUGACUGACGUUGAGGCUCGAAAGCGUGGGGAGCAAACAGGAUUAGAUACCCUUGUAA